This 252-nucleotide ribosomal RNA is filed under the name uncultured bacterium. RNAcentral's name for it is "partial 16S ribosomal RNA". It matches the Rfam family "Bacterial small subunit ribosomal RNA", at positions 524 to 776 of the family's 1533-position model. The record is from RNAcentral.
UACGUAGGGGGCUAGCGUUGUCCGGAUUUAUUGGGCGUAAAGAGCGUGUAGGCGGCCAUGUAGGUCCGGUGUGAAAACUCGAGGCUUAACCUCGAGAUGUCAUCGGAAACCAUUUGGCUAGAGUCCGGAAGAGGAGAGUGGAAUUCCUGGUGUAGCGGUGAAAUGCGUAGAGAUGCGGAGGAACACCAGUGGCGAAAGCGACUUUCUGGUCCUUAACUGACGCUGAGGCGCGAAAGCAUGGGAGCGAACGGG